AACGAACGCUGGCGGCAUGCCUAACACAUGCAAGUCGAACGAGACCUUCGGGUCUAGUGGCGCACGGGUGCGUAACGCGUGGGAACCUGCCCUUAGGUUCGGAAUAACUCCCCGAAAGGGGUGCUAAUACCGGAUAAUGUCUUCGGACCAAAGAUUUAUCGCCUUUGGAUGGGCCCGCGUUGGAUUAGCUAGUUGGUAGGGUAAAAGCCUACCAAGGCGACGAUCCAUAGCUGGUCUGAGAGGAUGAUCAGCCACACUGGGACUGAGACACGGCCCAGACCCCGACGGGGGGGAGCAGGGGGGAAUAUUGGACAAUGGGCGAAAGCCUGAUCCAGCAAUGCCGGGGGAGGGAUGAAGGCUUUAGGUUUGUAAAGCUCUUUUACCCGGGAUGAUAAUGACAGUACCGGGAGAAUAAGCCCCGGCUAACUCCGG
This 432-nucleotide ribosomal RNA is filed under the name uncultured bacterium. RNAcentral describes it as "partial 16S ribosomal RNA". It matches the Rfam family "Bacterial small subunit ribosomal RNA", at positions 29 to 506 of the family's 1533-position model. The record is from RNAcentral.